UACGGAGAGCGCAAGCAUUAAUCGGAAUUAUUGGGCGUAAAGGGCGCGUAGGCGGAAGGGUAAGUCAGAUGUGAAAUUCCGAAGCUCAACUUCGGAGCUGCAUUUGAAACUGUCCUUCUAGAGGGUUGACGGAGAAAACGGAAUUCCACGUGUAGCGGUGAAAUGCGUAGAUAUGUGGAAGAACACCAGUGGCGAAAGCGGUUUUCUAGUUGAUACCUGACGCUGAGGCGCGAGAGCAAGGGGAGCAAACAGG
RNAcentral lists this ribosomal RNA (253 nucleotides) under uncultured bacterium. Its description in RNAcentral is "partial 16S ribosomal RNA". It matches the Rfam family "Bacterial small subunit ribosomal RNA", at positions 524 to 776 of the family's 1533-position model. The record is from RNAcentral.